This 1701-nucleotide ribosomal RNA is filed under the name Campylobacter coli. RNAcentral describes it as "partial 23S ribosomal RNA". It matches the Rfam family "Bacterial large subunit ribosomal RNA", at positions 1243 to 2925 of the family's 2925-position model. The record is from RNAcentral. Lineage: Bacteria; Pseudomonadati; Campylobacterota; Epsilonproteobacteria; Campylobacterales; Campylobacteraceae.
AUUUGCGUCGAAGGUAUACCGGUAAGGAGUGCUGGAGCGAAUAGAAGUGAGCAUGCAGGCAUGAGUAGCGAUAAUUAAUGUGAGAAUCAUUAACGCCGUAAACCCAAGGUUUCCUACGCGAUGCUCGUCAUCGUAGGGUUAGUCGGGUCCUAAGUCGAGUCCGAAAGGGGUAGACGAUGGCAAAUUGGUUAAUAUUCCAAUACCAACAUUAGUGUGCGAUGGAAGGACGCUUAGGGCUAAGGGGGCUAGCGGAUGGAAGUGCUAGUCUAAGGUCGUAGGAGGUUAUACAGGCAAAUCCGUAUAACAAUACUCCGAGAACUGAAAGGCUUUUUGAAGUCUUCGGAUGGAUAGAAGAACCCCUGAUGCCGUCGAGCCAAGAAAAGUUUCUAAGUUUAGCUAAUGUUGCCCGUACCGUAAACCGACACAGGUGGGUGGGAUGAGUAUUCUAAGGCGCGUGGAAGAACUCUCUUUAAGGAACUCUGCAAAAUAGCACCGUAUCUUCGGUAUAAGGUGUGGUUCGCUUCGUAUUAGGAUUUACUCCGAAAGCGAAGAAACUUACAACAAAGAGUCCCUCCCGACUGUUUACCAAAAACACAGCACUCUGCUAACUCGUAAGAGGAUGUAUAGGGUGUGACGCCUGCCCGGUGCUCGAAGGUUAAUUGAUGGGGUUAGCAUUAGCGAAGCUCUUGAUCGAAGCCCGAGUAAACGGCGGCCGUAACUAUAACGGUCCUAAGGUAGCGAAAUUCCUUGUCGGUUAAAUACCGACCUGCAUGAAUGGCGUAACGAGAUGGGAGCUGUCUCAAAGAGGGAUCCAGUGAAAUUGUAGUGGAGGUGAAAAUUCCUCCUACCCGCGGCAAGACGGAAAGACCCCGUGGACCUUUACUACAGCUUGACACUGCUAUUUGGAUAAGAAUGUGCAGGAUAGGUGGGAGGCUUUGAGUAUAUGACGCCAGUUGUAUAUGAGCCAUUGUUGAGAUACCACUCUUUCUUAUUUGGGUAGCUAACCAGCUUGAGUUAUCCUCAAGUGGGACAAUGUCUGGUGGGUAGUUUGACUGGGGCGGUCGCCUCCCAAAUAAUAACGGAGGCUUACAAAGGUUGGCUCAGAACGGUUGGAAAUCGUUCGUAGAGUAUAAAGGUAUAAGCCAGCUUAACUGCAAGACAUACAAGUCAAGCAGAGACGAAAGUCGGUCUUAGUGAUCCGGUGGUUCUGUGUGGAAGGGCCAUCGCUCAAAGGAUAAAAGGUACCCCGGGGAUAACAGGCUGAUCUCCCCCAAGAGCUCACAUCGACGGGGAGGUUUGGCACCUCGAUGUCGGCUCAUCGCAUCCUGGGGCUGGAGCAGGUCCCAAGGGUAUGGCUGUUCGCCAUUUAAAGCGGUACGCGAGCUGGGUUCAGAACGUCGUGAGACAGUUCGGUCCCUAUCUGCCGUGGGCGUAAGAAGAUUGAAGAGAUUUGACCCUAGUACGAGAGGACCGGGUUGAACAAACCACUGGUGUAGCUGUUGUUCUGCCAAGAGCAUCGCAGCGUAGCUAAGUUUGGAAAGGAUAAACGCUGAAAGCAUCUAAGCGUGAAGCCAACUCUAAGAUGAAUCUUCUCUAAGCUCUCUAGAAGACUACUAGUUUGAUAGGCUGGGUGUGUAAUGGAUGAAAGUCCUUUAGCUGACCAGUACUAAUAGAGCGUUUGGCUUAUCUUUAAUAAAGCAU